This is an RNA transcript of Bradysia coprophila, 1276 nucleotides long. RefSeq lists it as uncharacterized. The record is from RefSeq and is a predicted model, not a curated record. NCBI's taxonomy places the organism in Eukaryota, Metazoa, Arthropoda, Insecta, Diptera, Sciaridae.
CAGGUACGACAGGUAGCUAAAAUAAUACAUAUGGUGCUCCGUAUUAAAUGAAACGCGAUUUUCAGUUGAUCUUGCAAUCUCGCGCUGUUUAGACCUGUUUCUGUAUCGCAAAGUUGAUAGUCGUUUCUUUUUGCUGCUUUUUGAAAAUAAAAUCUUAAUUUAUUUUCUGUUGGAUAAAAAUAAUUGUUGUAGUGAUGUAAAUUAAACGCCCCAUUAUUAUUUUGUGUGUUUUCUUCGGGGAUUUUUUGUCGUUGAUGUUGUUGUUGGAAAAAAGAAAAACGGAUUUUACGGAUUAUAAACGCAUCGCAACAGAUUUGUGUGUCCAAUAAGUUCGAUAUUUUAAGGAAGUGGUCGUGUGCAACACUGAAUUUUUGUUAGUUUCUUUUUCAUUUAUUUUGUUGAUGUUACAAAACGACUUUUCAUAGUUCCCAGUGAAUUUUAUUACCAUAUCGGAGAUCGAACAAUUUUCACGCAUACACGGCAAGGAAUUUUUUCUGUACACGAACAAUUUAAGCGGUUUGGCUGGACACGACGCGCAAGAAAUAAUUGAAGCAGAUCGAUGUGAUGCGGAAAGUGGCACCGAAGGCCAAAUUGCAGUGACGGCCGUUAAGUCAACUGCCAAAGAAACGCCCGCUGAUCUCCACAAAAGUGGAAAAAAUCCACAGUGUACUGGAUGCAAAGCAUGGCAACAAGAGUACGACAAUCUGCAGAAGUUAUGCUUGCGGUUAACGAUUCGUAACGCUGACAUGGACUUAAAAUUUGAAGAUCUGCUGAAAGUUAAAUCUGGAAAAAAUCAGAUGUUACCAGAUUCAAGCGACACUGCGGCUACGGAUGACAUUUUCUCAGCGAGAGAGCUAAAAUUCUUGGAGUGCAUGCCCUUAGAUAAGACAUCCGACUCGACGUUUGUUCACCAUUGCAUCCAGUACGCGUACAAAGACAAUCCGCUCAUCCUGGUCCAAAGAUCAUUAAAGGGAACAGCUGAGGUCAUACAUAUUGCAGAAAAUGGGGAAAUCGGCGAGAUAAUUCCAGGCAAAGAUCCGAUGACACCGGGAAAGGUUGAACAAAUCAGAAAUUUGUUCAUUCAGCGUGUAUCUAAAUGUCAGCUUGAUGCUGUUUCUUAUUCUGAGCGCAUCAAGGAUGCAUACCUUAACCGACUAAUAGCAUCUGGUGUGCGAAACAUUGCUAAAAAGAAAGGAAGUUCGUGACUUCGAUAUUGUUGCUGAAAAAACUUGUUUGAAUACAAAUUGAAUUGUGUCUGAAAAUCUGUGGUUUUCCU